This 788-nucleotide ribosomal RNA is filed under the name uncultured bacterium. RNAcentral's name for it is "bacterial SSU rRNA". It matches the Rfam family "Bacterial small subunit ribosomal RNA", at positions 8 to 795 of the family's 1533-position model. The record is from RNAcentral.
AGAGUUUGAUCCUGGCUCAGAUUGAACGCUGGCGGCAUGCCUAACACAUGCAAGUCGCACGCGAAAGGGGGCAACCCCGAGUAGAGUGGCGGACGGGUGCGUAACGCGUAGGAAUAUACCUGGUAGUGGGGGACAACCCGGCGAAAGCCGGGCUAAUACCGCAUACGAUCUACGGAUGAAAGCAGGGGACCGCAAGGCCUUGCGCUAUCAGAUUAGCCUGCGUCGGAUUAGCUAGUUGGUGAGGUAAAGGCUCACCAAGGCAACGAUCCGUAGCUGGUUUGAGAGAACGACCAGCCACACUGGGACUGAGACACGGCCCAGACUCCUACGGGAGGCAGCAGUGGGGAAUAUUGGACAAUGGGGGCAACCCUGAUCCAGCAAUGCCGCGUGUGUGAAGAAGGCCUUCGGGUUGUAAAGCACUUUCGAUGGGGAAAAACAAGCUAGACCUAACACGUCUGGCCCUGAUGGUACCCAGAGAAGAAGCACCGGCUAACUCUGUGCCAGCAGCCGCGGUAAUACAGAGGGUGCAAGCGUUAAUCGGAAUUACUGGGCGUAAAGGGUGCGUAGGUGGUUUGCUAAGUCAGGCGUGAAAUCCCUGGGCUCAACCUGGGAACUGCGUUUGAUACUGGCAGACUCGAGUCUGGUAGAGGGUAGUGGAAUUCCGCAUGUAGCGGUGAAAUGCGUAGAUAUGCGGAGGAACAUCAGUGGCGAAGGCGGCUACCUGGACCAAGACUGACACUGAGGCACGAAAGCGUGGGGAUCAAACAGGAUUAGAUACCCUGGUAGUC